Molecule: ribosomal RNA, 513 nt
Filed under: Triticum aestivum (bread wheat)
Lineage: Eukaryota; Viridiplantae; Streptophyta; Magnoliopsida; Poales; Poaceae
Description: partial small subunit ribosomal RNA
Source: RNAcentral
AUGCCUUACGAUGAGCGGUACACACCGUACAUCAAGCAGGCAGGACUACUCCCGUGGAUUCUGUUGGUCAGCCGGUCCACGCCGAAUCUGAACGCUCCACUGGUGUCCGCUCUUGUUGAUCAGUGGAGGCCAGAGACCCACAGUUUCCAUCUUCGAACCGGGGAGAUGACCAUGACGCUCGAGGAUGUCUUGUUGAUCACCGGUCUUGCUAUCGACGGGAGGCCUCUAUGUAUGAGCAUCGAUUCUGAUGGGUGGCGCGAGCAGAUGAUUGCUCUUAUCGGUAUGGCUCCUACCGAGGCUGAGGAUGAUGUAGAGGAGGGAGAAGAGAAGAAGAAGAGGGAAAGGAAGGCAGCCGGAGCUGCUUUCACGUGGAUUCAAAAUAACUUUGCGACAUGCCCUCCGGAUGCAACUGAUGAUGUGAUCCAGACACAUGCUCGUGUGUAUAUGUGGUACAUUAUGUCGAGGACUUUGUUUCCUGACUCCACUAGCAAGAACGCUCCAUGGAUGUGGCUG